AGAGUUUGAUCAUGGCUCAGGAUAAACGCUGGCGGCGUGCCUAACACAUGCAAGUCGUACGCGGCAUGAGGCAACUCAUGUCGAGUGGCGGACGGGUGAGGAACACGUGGGUCAUCUACCAAAAGGUGAGGAAUACCGGCGAGAAAUCGCCGACAAUACCGCAUAGGUUUGGAAACAAACAAAGUCGCAAGACGCCUUUU
RNAcentral lists this ribosomal RNA (200 nucleotides) under uncultured bacterium. RNAcentral describes it as "partial 16S ribosomal RNA". It matches the Rfam family "Bacterial small subunit ribosomal RNA", at positions 8 to 223 of the family's 1533-position model. The record is from RNAcentral.